AACGAACGCUGGCGGCAGGCCUAACACAUGCAAGUCGAGCGAGGACUUCGGUCCUAGCGGCGGACGGGUGAGUAACGCGUGGGAACGUGCCCUUUGCUUCGGAAUAGCCCUGGGAAACUGGGAGUAAUACCGGAUGAGCCCUUUGGGGGAAAGAUUUAUCGGCGAAGGAUCGGCCCGCGUUGGAUUAGGUAGUUGGUGGGGUAAAGGCCUACCAAGCCGACGAUCCAUAGCUGGUUUGAGAGGAUGAUCAGCCACACUGGGACUGAGACACGGCCCAGACUCCUACGGGAGGCAGCAGUGGGGAAUCUUAGACAAUGGGGGAAACCCUGAUCUAGCCAUGCCGCGUGAGCGAUGAAGGCCUUAGGGUUGUAAAGCUCUUUCAGCUGGGAAGAUAAUGACGGUACCAGCAGAAGAAGCCCCGGCUAACUCCGUG
This 433-nucleotide ribosomal RNA is filed under the name uncultured bacterium. RNAcentral describes it as "partial 16S ribosomal RNA". It matches the Rfam family "Bacterial small subunit ribosomal RNA", at positions 29 to 507 of the family's 1533-position model. The record is from RNAcentral.